This 484-nucleotide ribosomal RNA is filed under the name uncultured bacterium. RNAcentral's name for it is "partial 16S ribosomal RNA". It matches the Rfam family "Bacterial small subunit ribosomal RNA", at positions 30 to 507 of the family's 1533-position model. The record is from RNAcentral.
AUUGAACGCUGGCGGCAUGCCUAACACAUGCAAGUCGAGCGGAUGAAGGGAGCUUGCUCCUGGAUUCAGCGGCGGACGGGUGAGUAAUGCCUAUGAAUCUGCCUGGUAGUGGGGGAUAACGUCCGGAAACGGGCGCUAAUACCGCAUACGUCCUGAGGGAGAAAGUGGGGGAUCUUAGGACCUCACGCGAUCAGAUGAGCCUAGGUCGGAUUAGCUAGUUGGUGGGGUAAAGGCCUACCAAGGCGACGAUCCGUAACUGGUCUGAGAGGAUGAUCAGUCACACUGGAACUGAGACACGGUCCAGACUCCUACGGGAGGCAGCAGUGGGGAAUAUUGGACAAUGGGCGAAAGCCUGAUCCAGCCAUGCCGCGUGUGUGAAGAAGGUCUUCGGAUUGUAAAGCACUUUAAGUUGGGAGGAAGGGCAGUAAGUUAAUACCUUGCUGUUUUGACGUUACCAACAGAAUAAGCACCGGCUAACUUCGUG